CAAUAGCGUAUAUUAAAAUUGUUGCGGUUAAAACGCUCGUAGUUGGAUAUCUGUGAGCGGGUUCCGGUCCUUCCCAGUGAAGAUUACACGGAACUCUGCUCGCAUUUGUUCAGGGAGGGUGGAUGCACUUCACUGUGUGACCACAUGAUCUGAAUUUUUACUUUGAGGAAAUGAGAGUGUUCCAAGCAGGCAAUCGCCGUGAAUAUGAUAGCAUGGAAUAAUAACAUAGGAUCUUUGUCCUAUUUUGUUGGUUUCUAGGGCUGAGAUAAUGAUUAAUAGGGAUAAUUGGGGGCAUCUGUAUCAACGCGUCAGAGGUGGAAUUCUUGGAUUGCGUUGCGACAAACUACUGCGAAAGCAUUUGCCAAGGAUGUUUUCAUUGA
RNAcentral lists this ribosomal RNA (380 nucleotides) under uncultured eukaryote. Its description in RNAcentral is "partial 18S ribosomal RNA". It matches the Rfam family "Eukaryotic small subunit ribosomal RNA", at positions 592 to 976 of the family's 1831-position model. The record is from RNAcentral.